UCACUGGCACUCAUCUGAUCACCAAAGUUAAGCAAUGUCAAGCAUGGUCAGUAAUAUGAUGGGUGACCUCUUGGGAAUAGCAGGUGCUGUAAG
Molecule: non-coding RNA, 93 nt
Organism: Acanthosepion pharaonis
Lineage: Eukaryota; Metazoa; Mollusca; Cephalopoda; Sepiida; Sepiidae
Source: the annotation of a GenBank genome assembly